GGGCCGCUAGCUCAAUUGGUAGAGCAUCUCCCUCUUAAGGAGACGGUUCGGCGUUCGAUUCGCCGGCGGCUCA
RNAcentral lists this transfer RNA (73 nucleotides) under Candidatus Levyibacteriota bacterium. Its description in RNAcentral is "tRNA-Lys". It matches the Rfam family "tRNA". From Rfam's summary of the family: Transfer RNA (tRNA) molecules are approximately 80 nucleotides in length. Their secondary structure includes four short double-helical elements and three loops (D, anti-codon, and T loops). The record is from RNAcentral. RNAcentral also lists the same sequence under 1 other name. Lineage: Bacteria; Candidatus Levyibacteriota.